GACGAACGCUGGCGGCGUGCUUAACACAUGCAAGUCGAACGGAAAGGCCCUGCUUUUGUGGGGUGCUCGAGUGGCGAACGGGUGAGUAACACGUGAGUAACCUGCCCUUGACUUUGGGAUAACUUCAGGAAACUGGGGCUAAUACCGGAUAGGAGCUCCUGCUGCAUGGUGGGGGUUGGAAAGUUUCGGCGGUUGGGGAUGGACUCGCGGCUUAUCAGCUUGUUGGUGGGGUAGUGGCUUACCAAGGCUUUGACGGGUAGCCGGCCUGAGAGGGUGACCGGCCACAUUGGGACUGAGAUACGGCCCAGACUCCUACGGGAGGCAGCAGUGGGGAAUAUUGCACAAUGGGCGGAAGCCUGAUGCAGCAACGCCGCGUGCGGGAUGACGGCCUUCGGAUUGUAAACCGCUUUCGCCUGUGACGAAGCGCGAGUGACGGUAAUGGGUAAAGAAGCACCGGCUAACUACGUG
RNAcentral lists this ribosomal RNA (468 nucleotides) under uncultured bacterium. RNAcentral describes it as "partial 16S ribosomal RNA". It matches the Rfam family "Bacterial small subunit ribosomal RNA", at positions 28 to 507 of the family's 1533-position model. The record is from RNAcentral.